This 301-nucleotide ribosomal RNA is filed under the name uncultured bacterium. RNAcentral describes it as "partial 16S ribosomal RNA". It matches the Rfam family "Bacterial small subunit ribosomal RNA", at positions 509 to 807 of the family's 1533-position model. The record is from RNAcentral.
CAGUAGCCGCGGUAAUACGGAGGGUGCAAGCGUUAAUCGGAAUUACUGGGCGUAAAGCGUGCGUAGGCGGUUCGUUAAGUCUGUUGUGAAAGCCCCGGGCUCAGCCUGGGAAUGGCAAUGGAUACUGGCGAGCUAGAGUGUGUCAGAGGAUGGUGGAAUUCCCGGUGUAGCGGUGAAAUGCGUAGAGAUCGGGAGGAACAUCAGUGGCGAAGGCGGCCAUCUGGGACAACACUGACGCUGAGGCACGAAAGCGUGGGGAGCAAACAGGAUUAGAUACCCCUGUAGUCCCUGUCUCUUAUAC